This 97-nucleotide ribosomal RNA is filed under the name uncultured bacterium. Its description in RNAcentral is "partial 16S ribosomal RNA". It matches the Rfam family "Bacterial small subunit ribosomal RNA", at positions 1396 to 1500 of the family's 1533-position model. The record is from RNAcentral.
GUCCAAGCCAUGGAAGCCGGGAGUGCCUGAAGUGCGUGACCGCAAGGAGCGUCCUAAGGCAAUACCGGUGACUGGGGCUAAGUCGUAACAAGGUAGC